GCCGGGUGUACUGGUGCACGCCUGUAAUCCCAACAGCUUGGGAGGCUGAGGCAGAUGGAUCCAGAGUUCAAGUCAGCCUCAC
RNAcentral lists this small RNA (82 nucleotides) under Marmota monax (woodchuck). The record is from RNAcentral. Lineage: Eukaryota; Metazoa; Chordata; Mammalia; Rodentia; Sciuridae.